UUUAAGGCCUGGCUUGACAAAGCCCUGGCUGGGAUGAUUUAGUUGGGGUUGGUCCUGCAUGGAGCAGGGUGCUGGUCUAGAUGACCUGCUGAUGUCUCUUCCAAUCCUAAUCUUCUAUGAUUCUACAAGCAGAAAUUCAGUGUAAG
Non-coding RNA from Chelonoidis abingdonii (Abingdon island giant tortoise), 146 nucleotides. The record is from RefSeq and is a predicted model, not a curated record. NCBI's taxonomy places the organism in Eukaryota, Metazoa, Chordata, Testudines, Testudinidae.